RNAcentral lists this ribosomal RNA (191 nucleotides) under uncultured bacterium. RNAcentral's name for it is "partial 16S ribosomal RNA". It matches the Rfam family "Bacterial small subunit ribosomal RNA", at positions 338 to 524 of the family's 1533-position model. The record is from RNAcentral.
CCUACGGGAGGCAGCAGUCGGGAAUUUUGGGCAAUGGGCGAAAGCCUGACCCAGCAACGCCGCGUGAAGGAUGAAGUUUUUCGGAAUGUAAACUUCACAAGAAUGGGAAGAAUAAGUGGGGGCUAAUACCCCCCAUGAUGACGGUACCAUUUGUAAGCUCCGGCUAACUCCGUGCCAGCAGCCGCGGUAAU